RNAcentral lists this ribosomal RNA (254 nucleotides) under uncultured bacterium. RNAcentral's name for it is "partial 16S ribosomal RNA". It matches the Rfam family "Bacterial small subunit ribosomal RNA", at positions 524 to 776 of the family's 1533-position model. The record is from RNAcentral.
UACGUAGGGAGCAAGCGUUGUUCGGAAUCACUGGGCGUAAAGGGCGCGUAGGCGGCCUUGCAAGUCGGUUGGUGAAAGCCCGGGGCUCAACCCCGGAGGUGCGGCCGAGACUGCAGGGCUGGAGGCCGGAAGAGGAGGGUGGAAUACCCAGUGUAGAGGUGAAAUUCGUAGAUAUUGGGUGGAACACCGGUGGCGAAAGCGGCUCUCUGGUCCGGACCUGACGCUGAGGCGCGAAAGCUAGGGUAGCAAACGGG